GAUGAAGAACGCAGCGAAAUGCGAUAAGUAAUGUGAAUUGCAGAAUUCCGUGAAUCAUCGAAUCUUUGAACGCACAUUGCGCCCCCUGGCAUUCCGGGGGGCAUACCUGUCCGAGCGUCAUUUCUGCCCUCCAGCCCGGCUGGGUGUUGGGCGCUGUCCCCCCGGGGACACGCCCCAAAGGCAGUGGCGGCGCCGCGUCGGGUCCUCGAGCGUAUGGGGCUUUGUCACCCGCUCGGGACGGACUCGUCGGCGCUGGUCUUCCUCCAGGCGACCCUUCGGGGCUCGUCUUCCUUCGGUUGACCUCGGAUCAGGUAGGGUUACCCGCUGAACUUAAGCAUAUCAAUAAGCGGAGGA
This 354-nucleotide unclassified non-coding RNA is filed under the name soil metagenome. RNAcentral's name for it is "partial contains 5.8S ribosomal RNA, internal transcribed spacer 2, and large subunit ribosomal RNA". The stretch from base 1 to 120 matches the Rfam family "5.8S ribosomal RNA", at positions 35 to 154 of the family's 154-position model. The record is from RNAcentral.